GGAGUUCCACACAGUUGUGAGAUUGGCUGUCACAAAAGUAUGAUUUUAAAUUAAUUUAUAAGCUGUCAAUGUGUUUGGGUGUGGAAUUCUCCCACAGUGGUUAAGUGUCCCCUUUCCUUCAUCAAAUUAUGCUGUGAUAUUGUCUGGUACAAAAUGCUACUGCCUGUGGAUCAACCAACCAACAUAUCCAGAAAAUCACCUGUUUAUAGAAAUUGUAUUUGCUGCCACUAGGCUUCAAAGUCGAAUUCCAGAUUGGAAAAUAAAAUGCACAGACUGCCUCUUUCGACUUCCAGGCCACGCAUGCACCCAUAAACCAAAUUCUUGUAGCAUUGAACAUGGACAGACCUGCUUCAGACAGACAGUCUAUUUUGGACGGGUUCCAUUAUAUAGCAAAAUGGGUUGCGCUGAAACUUGUAUGGCGGUCAAAGAGGAGAAGGAGAAACUGAAGAUCUCUGAAACCUUUACUUGCUGCCAUUUAUUUAACCAUUGUAACGCAUAAGAGAACCUGCAACUUGGAGCUCGCUAUGUGAACAAAAAGAUGGAAAUGUGUACAGUAUCCAAAAGUACACCCUCUGUGGAAAUACUGUUGAAAGCUCUAUUUUUGGCUACUCACCCAAGGCACGGUAGAGAAGGAUGGCAAUCGAGAACCACAAACCCUUGCUCAUGUUUUCUUUCCUUCCGGCUUUUGUUACUUUGAAAUAAGAUUGAAGAAUUUGGUGGAUCUUUAAUUGUAUUGAUGAAGAUGAUCCUGACCUGUUAUCAAAGUCAGUAUUAACUCACACAGACGUACUUUCAGAGCAAGUCACAAAUGGAUGUGAGUUCUCUGAAGGUGGUGUUAUAAAGGCUCCAAAAUUACAAUAAAAAUCUUUUGACCAAGAAU
Molecule: non-coding RNA, 880 nt
Organism: Pantherophis guttatus
Lineage: Eukaryota; Metazoa; Chordata; Lepidosauria; Squamata; Colubridae
Source: RefSeq, a predicted model, not a curated record